Molecule: long non-coding RNA, 953 nt
Filed under: Ananas comosus (pineapple)
Lineage: Eukaryota; Viridiplantae; Streptophyta; Magnoliopsida; Poales; Bromeliaceae
Description: long non-coding RNA (ACOM_LNC041519)
Source: RNAcentral
UAAUAAUACUAUUUGAGACAAAAUUAAACUGUUUGAGACAAAUUUGCAUCAUUUAUAAUUGUUCGAGACUAAACUGGACCACAUAAAAUAAAAGUUGCACGGUUUAAAAUUAAGUUGCACUAUUCAAGACUUAAAUUAUACUAUUUAAAAAUAUUUGGGACUAAGUUGCAAUACAUUUAAAUUGUACAACUUAACUAGCAAACAUUGCAAUUUCUAUUUUACAUGGUAUAACUUAGUCUCAAAUAGUAAUAAAUGGUUCAACUUAACCUUAAAUAAUAUAAUUUAUUCUCAAAUAGUGUAAUUUUAUCUUAAAUAGUAUAAUUUUGCCUUCUUCUUUCUUCUUUAUUUAUUGGUAUUGUAAGGAUUGAGAUUUUUGACAGUGCAACUAAACUCUCUGUUGCUGAUGUUUAUGUGUGUAAUUUAAUUACAUAAGCACUCGUCAAAUUUUGGGCGAAAAUGAGCUAAAAUGGAGAAGAUACGCGACUUUUAGUUUUCACUUAAGUGAAUAGUAACUCCGGUUUUCCGGAGAAGCCACGGAGUAGAGUAGGCUUCUGGCGCGUAUCGGACUCCGUUCAUAGCGAUCCAAUAGCUCGUUUCGACCGGUUCAGCUAUUCUGGAACUACUAGCGCUGACGGAUUUUGAGUUUGAUGCACGAAUUUCAAGAAAAUCCGAAAAUACGUGUUUUAUAUGUAUUUAUGUGUUAUUCCUUCUAUUGGAAAGAAAGUUUGGAUUUUGUCGUGAAUCCGUGGUCGAUCGUGGUGAAACAAAUCGUAGCUUUGUUGUCUCCGAAGUGCUGAUCGCACUGGUACAAUCCGUUCGCAAAUCUGACAGACGGAUCUACGGAGAUCGCACGUUGAUCGAGGAGAGUUCGGUGAUGGCAAAACGGUAAUUUCGCAAAAGUUGCGACAUUUUAUGUACCGAAUCGCGUGAGAUCGGACGUGGAGGUAUGUACG